RNAcentral lists this long non-coding RNA (274 nucleotides) under Homo sapiens (human). RNAcentral describes it as "non-protein coding lnc-MRPL19-14:1". Lineage: Eukaryota; Metazoa; Chordata; Mammalia; Primates; Hominidae. The record is from RNAcentral.
UGUCAUCCUGUCCUGCCACUUGGGCCCCGAGAAACUACUACUUCAAAGAUAGUAUAAUACUGUGCUUGCUGUGUUUACUCUUUAGGUUUACUUUCCCUUAACUCUAGAGUGAAUCCUCUUUGCUGUUUGCCAUCUUUUCUCAGAUGCCUUGGUGUUGAGACAACACAGAAGGACAUGGUAAACUGAAAAACUGGACCACUGUACAGCUGAUGUUAUCCUGGACAACGUGUAAUCUUUCCUACUGCUCCCCAUUCCAUCUUAGCCCCUUUUUCAC